Molecule: ribosomal RNA, 496 nt
Filed under: uncultured bacterium
Lineage: Bacteria
Description: partial 16S ribosomal RNA
Rfam family: Bacterial small subunit ribosomal RNA
Source: RNAcentral
AUGAACGCUGGCGGCGUGCCUAAUACAUGCCAGUAGAACGCUGAAGGCAGGAGCUUGCUCUUUCCGGAUGAGUUGCGAACGGGUGAGUAACGCGUAGGUAACCUGCCUGGUAGCGGGGGAUAACUAUUGGAAACGAUAGCUAAUACCGCAUAACAGUAGAUGUUGCAUGAUAUCUACUUAAAAGGUGCAAUUGCACCACUACCAGAUGGACCUGCGUUGUAUUAGCUAGUUGGUGAGGUAACGGCUCACCAAGGCGACGAUACAUAGCCGACCUGAGAGGGUGAUCGGCCACACUGGGACUGAGACACGGCCCAGACUCCUACGGGAGGCAGCAGUAGGGAAUCUUCGGCAAUGGACGGAAGUCUGACCGAGCAACGCCGCGUGAGUGAAGAAGGGUUUCGGAUCGUAAAGCUCUGUUGUAAGAGAAGAACGAGUGUGAGAGUGGAAAGUUCACACUGUGACGGUAUCUUACCAGAAAGGGACGGCUAACUACGUG